Molecule: non-coding RNA, 1592 nt
Organism: Malus domestica (apple)
Lineage: Eukaryota; Viridiplantae; Streptophyta; Magnoliopsida; Rosales; Rosaceae
Source: RefSeq, a predicted model, not a curated record
GGAUAUCCAAAUUAUAAUUUUUCAACUGGAUUUUUACAUAUUUUAUAUUAUUUUGGUGGCAACUUGUAAUUUUCUACAUCGAAGUGUAUGCACUGUUGCUAAAUUUUACUAGACAAAUUUACCUCAACCCUAAUUUUCAACCAGCCAUUCUCUCUGUCUCUCUCUCUCUCCUCCCUGCUCUCAACCCGUCUCCUCCUCCCUAACCCAGCCUCCAGCUUCCUAUCGACCCCGACGGCCAGCCAACUGGUGGUUUGCCACCGGCAACGUCUGCCACCUCUCAUUCGUCUCCCUCUUUCACCCACUCUCUAACCCUCUACGCCUCGCUCCUCACUAUCUCUUCUCUCUGACCUAACACGAAGAUUGGGGAUAGAAAAAUCUUUGGGGUCUCUCUCUAAAAGCGGCUGGAACAUUCUCGAACUCUGAUUUUCAGGUAUGUGCUUUGUAUUUCUCUUUUUUCAAUCAAUUUCUCUGCAUUUGGUUUUGAUUCUUUUUGUUCUUUGUUUUUAUUCUGAUUUCGAUUGUGAAAUCGAAUUUCUACUUUGAAAUUUCAGUUUUUAGGUUUAUGAUUUAGAAUUUGAGGUUGGGAUUUAGGGUUUAGGGUUUGAGGGAUGCGAGUUGGGUUUGAAAUUUCUGAAAAAAUGCAGCUCUUUCUGUAUUUCAAUUUUUCCCGUUUCGAUUCGGGAUUAGUAAAAGAGCCGCAUAAGUAAAGUGUGUGUAGUGAAUCUAGUGAUUGUGUCAAAUGAAUAAAGACUCGGAAACAGCAAGCAGGUUCUUGGAUGGACUAUCAUCUUUAUUCAAAUCAACCAAUGCUGAUAACAUUGACGAGGGCGAAAUUCUUCUUGUGGAAGGUUUGUUGUUUUCCUACUGGACUACUGCUACAAGGUAAAACUUUUCAGAUAUCUUGACAUAGUUUUUAAUCGAAUGUAGAGUUUUCUCUUAUGCCUAGACUUCAUCACUAAACGCCACUGUUUCCUAGGAUGGUCCUAUAUUCUCAAGUUUGUAAUAGAAAAUUUUCUUUUUAGUGUUGUGUAGCUUGACGUAUUAGAAUAAAGUUAAAGGUCGCUGUUUUGCAAAUAUAUGUAUUACGAAUCACAUUAAUCUUCUUCAUCAAUGCUUACUGGGUUUAUACCUUUCUUCGAAUCGCAUUAAUCUUCUUCGUCAAAGCUGACUGGGUUUGUACCUUUCUUCUUUUAGGCCUGCAGUUUAUCCAAGUAUACAAUGGUGGCUUCGGGAGUGGUAUCUCUUCAUAUGCAGCUUGUGAAAGUUCACAAAGUUACUAAGGUGGCUGAGAAGAUGAGCCUGUUUGAGCAAUACAAGGUGGAAAGAGAGAGACCGCUGAACGUAAAGAGUUAUUGCACUAGAUGAGCAAUUCAAUUAUUGAGAUGAUUAAGCUCUUGGAAACAAAGGGUUCGAGGACUUUUUAAAGUUUGGUCCCAACAUUUGUACAAAAUUGUAUAAAAUAUCAGUUAUGCAAAUUUAUAGUUGCAUUCUUAUAUUUUAAUGAUAUAACAAUUUGUUUUCUCACCAAAAAUAGAAAAAGAAAUGUGAUACUCCAAUUUGGAUGCCCACACACAGGGCAUCCUUUUUGUUAA